CCUACGGGUGGCAGCAGUGAGGAAUAUUGGUCAAUGGGCGCGAGCCUGAACCAGCCAAGUAGCGUGAAGGAUGACGGCCCUACGGUUUGUAAACUUCUUUUAUAAAGGAAUAAAGUGAGGCACGUGUGCCUUUUUGUAUGUACCAUAUGAAUAAGCAUCGGCUAACUCCGUGCCAGCAGCCGCGGUAAUACGGAGGAUGCGAGCGUUAUCCGGAUUUAUUGGGUUUAAAGGGAGCGUAGAUGGGUUGUUAAGUCAGUUGUGAAAGUUUGUGGCUCAACCGUAAAAUUGCCAUUGAUACUGGUUGUCUUGAGUACAGUUGAGGUAGGCGGAAUGCGUGGUGUAGCGGUGAAAUGCUUAGAUAUCACGAAGAACUCCGAUUGCGAAGGCAGCUUACUAAACUGUCACUGACAUUGAUGCUCGAAAGUGUGGGUAUCAAACAGGAUUAGAUACCCUUGUAGUC
RNAcentral lists this ribosomal RNA (460 nucleotides) under uncultured bacterium. RNAcentral describes it as "partial 16S ribosomal RNA". It matches the Rfam family "Bacterial small subunit ribosomal RNA", at positions 338 to 795 of the family's 1533-position model. The record is from RNAcentral.